CCGAAGGCAGGUUCGAUAACUGGGGUGAAGUCGUAACAAGGUAGCCGUAUCGGAAGGUGCGGCUGGAUCACCUCCUUUCUAAGGAA
This 86-nucleotide ribosomal RNA is filed under the name Coprococcus ammoniilyticus. RNAcentral describes it as "partial 16S ribosomal RNA". It matches the Rfam family "Bacterial small subunit ribosomal RNA", at positions 1456 to 1533 of the family's 1533-position model. The record is from RNAcentral. Lineage: Bacteria; Bacillati; Bacillota; Clostridia; Lachnospirales; Lachnospiraceae.